GGAAAUCACUGGGUUCCAGUCAAAGAAGACAAGAACCAAUGGAUUCAAAUUGGUUUCCAAAGUCAUGAAACGACAUGUGAACUCAUUUCCACAAAACACUCUCGAUUUCCUAAGUGGGCAACUACUACAAUAAAAGUUCCGUGGAAAGGUUACAUAUACUGCUGCAGUGUUGCUGCCUGAAAAAGUGAUUCUCAUUUCUUGGCACUAAAAAAUUUUUAUGAUGUUUUUUUUCCCAUAAGUAUACUGAAAUUGAUAGACAGUAAACGUAGAACUCAUUAUAGUAUAGCAUGAUCAUUUAUCGUACAGUAAUCAUCGAAUUUUUCCAAACAUGUGCUGUAUUUGUGUUUAUAAUAUUAAAACUUGAGCUGGUUAACUAUAAGUUUUAACCAAUUUCAGAUGAAUGUUCUCGUCGUAAACCAUAAAAA
Molecule: long non-coding RNA, 425 nt
Organism: Xenia sp. Carnegie-2017
Lineage: Eukaryota; Metazoa; Cnidaria; Anthozoa; Malacalcyonacea; Xeniidae
Exons: 2
Source: RefSeq, a predicted model, not a curated record